UUGGGCGAAGGCCGCCUCCAGCCAGCCGUGCCUACGGACACGUUUCGGCUCCAGUUCUCCCCUCUGGUUUGCCUCCAGCUCUUGCGGACAACAUCAGCCCUCUGGGGACUUGGACUGAUUCUCCAGUUAGCGCAUACCUGUCCCACUCCUGUCUGCAAGAUUUGGAGCCCUGUCUGUGCUUCCAGUUCAGACUUCACCAGCCCUGCAGGGAGGACAAAGGCCCCUCCAGCCACCUCCUUGCUCAAGCUGCUUUCUAGAUCUCGGCCACUGCCCUAGCAAGAUGCCAGCCCCACCUGAUGUUGAUGAAGCUGCCUGAGGACAUGUGCACAUGCUCAGCCAGGAUCUCCAGCAGCUUCACUCCUGCAGCCAGGCUCAGGGGCCUGGAGAUGGGAGAAGGCAGAGGAAGGGACCACUGCAGUGCUGGGUACAGAGAGGACACCAGAGCAUCUGAGACAAGACAACCACAGAUUCAUCAGCCUCACCAUUGCUAGAGUUGUAGAGAAAGGCUGCCUACCUGUCCCUUGGACGGGGCUCUGGGGGGCGAAGCCUGGGGAUGCGCUCCAUCUCCUGAGAGAUCACAUACUGGGUGAGGUCAUCGUGCCAGGACAAUCCUGUCAGGAAAGAGGACAGCGUACAGCUAUUGGAGCCAGACCACCUGGGUUUGAAUCCUGCCUUUGCUACUGAUGAAUUAUGUAACCUUGGGCAAGUUGCUGAACCUCUCCAAGCCUCAAUUCCCUCAUCAAUAAAAUGGGGAUUUAUACCUCCUAGGAUUGUUAUUAUCAUUAAAAUAACACAUAUACAUAUCAAA
RNAcentral lists this long non-coding RNA (808 nucleotides) under Homo sapiens (human). RNAcentral's name for it is "HSALNT0309071". Lineage: Eukaryota; Metazoa; Chordata; Mammalia; Primates; Hominidae. The record is from RNAcentral.